CAGUAGCCGCGGUAAUACGUAGGGUGCAAGCGUUAAUCGGAAUUACUGGGCGUAAAGCGUGCGCAGGCGGUUUUGUAAGACAGAGGUGAAAUCCCCGGGCUCAACCUGGGAACUGCCUUUGUGACUGCAAGGCUAGAGUACGGCAGAGGGGGAUGGAAUUCCGCGUGUAGCAGUGAAAUGCGUAGAUAUGCGGAGGAACACCGAUGGCGAAGGCAAUCCCCUGGGCCUGUACUGACGCUCAUGCACGAAAGCGUGGGGAGCAAACAGGAUUAGAUACCCCUGUAGUCCCUGUCUCUUAUAA
This 301-nucleotide ribosomal RNA is filed under the name uncultured bacterium. Its description in RNAcentral is "partial 16S ribosomal RNA". It matches the Rfam family "Bacterial small subunit ribosomal RNA", at positions 509 to 809 of the family's 1533-position model. The record is from RNAcentral.